This 71-nucleotide transfer RNA is filed under the name Marmota monax (woodchuck). RNAcentral's name for it is "tRNA.Ala". It matches the Rfam family "tRNA". Rfam says of the family: Transfer RNA (tRNA) molecules are approximately 80 nucleotides in length. Lineage: Eukaryota; Metazoa; Chordata; Mammalia; Rodentia; Sciuridae. The record is from RNAcentral.
GAGGUUGUGGCUCAGCAGUAGAGCGCAGGUCUCGCACGCGUGGGACCCUGGGUUCGAUCCUCAGCACCACG